RNAcentral lists this ribosomal RNA (483 nucleotides) under uncultured bacterium. RNAcentral describes it as "partial 16S ribosomal RNA". It matches the Rfam family "Bacterial small subunit ribosomal RNA", at positions 28 to 506 of the family's 1533-position model. The record is from RNAcentral.
AUUGAACGCUGGCGGCAUGCUUUACACAUGCAAGUCGAACGGCAGCGCGGGCUUCGGCCUGGCGGCGAGUGGCGAACGGGUGAGUAAUGCAUCGGAACGUGCCCAGUAGUGGGGGAUAGCCCGGCGAACGCCGGAUUAAUACCGCAUACGACCUGAGGGGGAAGCCGGGGGACGGAAAGCCUCGGGCCUAUUGGCGUGGCCGAUGUCGGAUUGGCUGGUGGGUGGGGUAAGGGCUUACCAAGGCGACGAUCCGUAGCUGGUCUUAGAGGACGACCAGCCACACUGGGACUGAGACACGGCCCAGCCUCCUACGGGAGGCAGCAGUGGGAAAUUUUGGACAAUGGGGGCAACCCUGAGCCAGCCAGGCCGCGGGCGGGAAGAAGGCCUUCGGGUUGUAAACCGCUUUUGUUCGGGAAGAAAUCCUCUGGGCUAAUACCCCGGGGGGAUGACGGUACCGGAAGAAUAAGCACCGGCAAACUACGG